RNAcentral lists this transfer RNA (74 nucleotides) under Gemmatimonadaceae bacterium. RNAcentral describes it as "tRNA-Arg". It matches the Rfam family "tRNA". From Rfam's summary of the family: Transfer RNA (tRNA) molecules are approximately 80 nucleotides in length. Their secondary structure includes four short double-helical elements and three loops (D, anti-codon, and T loops). The record is from RNAcentral. Lineage: Bacteria; Pseudomonadati; Gemmatimonadota; Gemmatimonadia; Gemmatimonadales; Gemmatimonadaceae.
GCCCUCGUAGCUCAGGUGGAUAGAGCACUCGUUUCCUAAAUGAGUGGCCGCGCGUUCGAGUCGCGCCGAGGGCA